GACGAACGCCGGCGGCGUGCUUAACACAUGCAAGUCGAACGGAAAGGCCCUGCUUUUGUGGGGUGCUCGAGUGGCGAACGGGUGAGUAACACGUGAGUAACCUGCCCUUGACUUUGGGAUAACUUCAGGAAACUGGGGCUAAUACCGGAUAGGAGCUCCUGCUGCAUGGGGGGGGUUGGAAAGUUUCGGCGGUUGGGGAUGGACUCGCGGCUUAUCAGCUUGUUGGUGGGGUAGUGGCUUACCAAGGCUUUGACGGGUAGCCGGCCUGAGAGGGUGACCGGCCACAUUGGGACUGAGAUACGGAGCAGACUCCUACGGGAGGCAGCAGUCGGGAAUAUUGCCCAGUGGGCGGAAGCCUGAUGCAGCAACGCCGCGUGCGGGAUGACGGCCUUCGGGUUGUAAACCGCUUUCGGCUGUGACGAAGCGUGAGUGACGGUACUGGGUAAAGAAGCACCGGCUAACUACGUG
This 468-nucleotide ribosomal RNA is filed under the name uncultured bacterium. RNAcentral's name for it is "partial 16S ribosomal RNA". It matches the Rfam family "Bacterial small subunit ribosomal RNA", at positions 28 to 507 of the family's 1533-position model. The record is from RNAcentral.